UUGUAAAAUUGUGCAAGUAACAGGAAUUGUGUGAUGAUUUUUAUUCAAUACAAAGUACCACAGGAUUAUUUCAUGAUUGGUAAUUGAGUCAAACAUAUCUCUAUAAUAAUAUAAUUUAGUACAAAUCUCUCAUAUUUGUGUAAGACAUUUCAUAAAGCUGCUUGUUAGUUGCACACAACUUAAUGCACAACUAAAAUCCAGCAUGAAUUAUUUAAAAAGUCAGGAUAAAAGGCUUCACUGCAAAGUGAAGUCCUUUUAAAGACAUCAAUCUAUGUUUGCCACUCCCAAACUGGGCAUUAAGAUGAUUACCAAUGAGAAUGAAGUACUUAAAUCCUGAGCAGAGCUGGGCCUUGUAUCAUAAAUAUGUGUGAUUAAUCACAGAACGGCUAUGGCCAAUCAAAAUUAUUGUUGCAUGCACUUACUGCUCAAAGUAAUAACCAUCCACCAAUCGUACUGAUUGUUACAAUCAUUAAAUUAAUCACAAAUCUUUGUGUUGCAGGGCCUAGUGGGAAAAUAUUAGAGCACUGUCAGUACCUUGCAUAGGGGUUUGUUUGCUAUGAAAGAAAUACAUGUAAUACAUAAGUUAAUUACAAGGUCACUAUGAAAGGUUAAUGGUGCAUAAAUAUGCAUACUAUCUGCUGGACAGAAAGCAAUAAAAUCUUGCUUCUGCUGAGAUGUACUGAAUCAAUAUAUACUCCCAAGGGAGUGAAGCAUUUUUGUCAUGCACUAUUGAGGAGACGACAUCUUAACUAAGACCUAUAUGACAUUUAUAUAUUUUGCUAUUGUUAUUCCUGACUUUGAUACAUUUUUAUCCUUGUCAAUGAAUUUAAAUUUUCCUUUUACUUCAAGUCUAGAAAAAAAAAUGAUUUAGAUUUAUUUUGAUGAUUCAAAUAAGUUUAUUCCUAAAGUGAAUUCUUUAGACUUUAGAACACACACCCAUUUGGAGAGGAACUUCAAUAGUAUAGUUCAGGAAAUUAUUGUCAGGUGAGGCAAACUGUGAAAGACUUUUAGGAAUGCUGAGGUUAUGUAUCUGAUUUACCGAAUGAAAUGAAGGAAUUUGUCAAGUCAUUUUGUCAUAUGAUCUCUAUCUUAAAGUAUUGCUUAUCUCAGAAACAGCUCAUAGUUACUGCUGAAAUUGACCCUUUUAAACAAUGCACUUAAUGUCGCUUACGGUCAAUAAAACCUAUUCAAAGUUUUAAUUGAAUUGCAUGAUGAUUGCAUUCACAUUGCACGUUGUGAUUUUAGACAAAAUAAUUUCCCAUGUUUUGCAUACCAAUGUCCAUAAACUGUGUGGUUCGAAGGUGAUGAAAUUAUGCCUACUUAAUUUCUAGGUUGGAAACUUAAUUUAAGGUUAGAAUCUACUUAACUUAAGAGCUAGAAGAAUCUUACUUUAAAGGUUGAUAGAAACUGAAACUACCGUGUUCAACUCUCCUUGUGAAGUAUGUACUAAAUGAAUAGCAAUUGUAUGUUCAAUUUACUAGAUUGCACAGGAAUAAAAUCAUGUUCUGAGUGAACAAAAGAAAGUUGGAAAUGGAUGGAAGACAUUGGAUUAAGGAGAUAUCCUUGAUAUUUCAUCAACAUUCUUCAUGCCAAUAUGAGAUCAUGUGAUCAGGCUCUGCCUUAUCAUGUCUGUCAAACAUGCUAUUCAUGGAACAAGUAUGUAGAAAUGACAAAAUGAUAAGAACUCCUUGCAGACGAUACAUCCUUUCAAGAUUAUGGCACUUUUUUAUAUUCAUAACUCAAUUUUAAAAACAAAGGGGUAUUCUUACUAAGUUCAAGUUAAAGUCUUAAUACCAAGAUUAUUUAUUAAAUUUGGCAUUACAUAUUAUGGUGUCUUUACUCUUCAAAACAUGAUUGCAAUACACAAUUAUUGAACCAUUGGUUUCCCCACUAUACUGAUUGUAUUGGUAUCCUUUCGUCAUUUAUUUGUAUAAUGAUGAAAAAGUCUUCCCAAUGUUGACUCAGCAUAAGUUGAAUAAUGGCCCAAGUCAACUUUAUUUUCAGAUAAGUGCCCUGCAUUAUACAGCUUAGCAAGCAAUCUAUUAUACAAUAUAUUUUUAUUAUUAAUUUAAUACAUGUAUUGAACAAAGCAAGUCAGUUGUAAAAUUAAGCCCACUGGUGAAACACUAUGCUUUUAUUAUUGUCGGAUGGUCCCCUAUUUUCAGGAAAAGUAUAUCUUCCUUUUGAAUAGUUUAGCUUUAGUACUCAUAUGUUAAACUGCCUAAUAUAUUGAUAACUGUAAAGUACAAUUUCCUGGGACCACAGAAUCUUUUUGACUUCAGGGUUAUUAAAUAAUAGCUAUUUUUUAUGUAGCGCUUUUUCCCAUAAUGGCUCAAAGUGCUUUACAGCAUAUUAUUACCCUGGUCAUUGGAUUCAUUUCAAUUUGAAUUAUUAGAAGCAAAUUUAACGUCUUGUGUCAUGUAACAUACGAACUAUCGUCAAUAUUAGGUGAAUUAUUUAUGUUAUACCCCCUUGUCUAAAAAUCACUUCAACUCUGGUCAUUAUUCAUCUUAUGGAAAGUCAGCUUGUGACAAUAACUGUAGUUGAGAAGAUAACUUUCAUGAAACCUUGACCAACAUUUCAUGAUUCCUACUGGGUACCCCCACUCUUUUCCUGACAUUCCGGCAACAUGAACUCCCCAUGCUACAAGGUCUCAGACUUCCCAAUGUAUGUCUGUUUCCGCCAAGGAGAACUGCCAUUUAGAGAACCUUUGUUAAAGGAGCAUAUGUCAUGUCUUUAAUUGCUGCUCAAAUGCCUUAAUGUGCUGAAAUACACUGAUUCAUUUUUGCAUGAAUAUGAUUGGAGAUUUCAUCUUUUGAUCAUCUGCUGCAAAUGUUGUUGCUGAUGGUAGACCAGGGCCAUGUCUUACAAAGAAUUGUGAUAGAUUCAAAUCGAAUUGAAAUUGUUAUUGAUCUCAAUUAUUGUUAUUGAUCUCAAUUUGUGUAGUUAAGAGAUGGGAAUCUCAGAUCAAUCGCAAUUGAAAAGUCUUUGUAAGACAGACCUCAGUGUAGUCAUUAUUUUGUAAUUUGUAGAUUUUUCCUGGGAUUUGUUGUCGGUUACUUUCAAUCAACUCCUAAACCCACAACAUAUAUCUUGGAAAUUGAUCAUACAAUUGAUUUCAGUGAUGGCUCGCACAUGAAAAUCAUUGUUACCGAUCACAAGUAUCAGUCCUAUGAUCAAUCGCUAAUCUCUGUGUUAAUGACUCUAUUGAGUGGCUUGUGUUACUGCAAAAUGUUGAAAACUUCCUUUAGCUGCACCCUCUUUCUUAAGACCCAAUGUUGAUACCCAUCAUAUCAAUGACUGGAUGGACUCUAUUUAUUUUGCUGUAAACUGAUUUGAACUGUCAUGGGUUUGGUAGGAAAGACUCAAGCCUGAAGGUGAAGAAAAAGCAAGAUUCAUAUCUGACCCUUUUAAUCUUCCACCUCCCUGCGCUAUGCUGACAUCCUGUCUGCUCCAUUACAAGAACAAAAGAAAGUCCUCAAGCAAAUCCUUCAUUUAGAGCCUAGACGUCCAUUUGGUGACCUGUAGAGGAGGGCAUAAUACUCAAAUGCUGGCAUGUUGACUGGUCAUUUUGUGUCGUAUGAAAAAGAAAACCCUCUUGCAAAUCCUUGUUCAUUUAGAUCCUAGACAUUCAUUUGAUGACCUGGAGAGGGAAGCAUUAACUCAUAACUCUUGUGAGGAUUGGUCAUUCUCUUUUGCUUAAGGAAAAACUCCAAGCAAAUUCUUUCUUAGUUUGAUCCUUAAGGUCCAUUCAUACUUUAUUUUUCUUGAUAUUUAGAGGAUAUAUUCAUACUGAACUAUUCAUGUUUGAUACAAAAAACAUCUGUUAUAUUCAAAAUAUUUCCAUAAAAUAUGUUACAUUUUUAGGGGGGCCUUAGAGAUUUUAUAGAGUUGCUCUCUUGAUGAGGAGUGGAUAAAUUUAAUUAUGUUUAUAAAGCAUGUCCUGUGAAGGAUGAAGGCACAUGUCAAGUCCUGAACAUUAGGUCAAGUUGUAGGCCUGUCCAUGAUUAUGACAUUAAUGGCAGCAUUUUACUUGAUAGGUGGACAUUGCUGGCAUUCAUCAUUAUGCACCCUUAUCAUCAUUAGAACCUUAUGUUGUAGUUUUCAUUUUUUUUUCUUGCAUGUGCUAUCCAAUCAUAUAUUAUAAUAUAAUUGUUAGAGAUUCCUGAAAUAUAUCCCAAUGUAUGAAUGUUGUACCCUUCUUGGGGCAGUCCAACACUUAGACAUGAUUCAUGCUGUUAAAUGAUUAAUUAACUUCAUUUAUUUUUUUUCUAAUGGGAAUCAUAACCACAGAAGUUAACGUGUUAGAGAAUGUAAAAAUGAAAAUGAGCUUAAUCUAUGUGUGUGAUGAUAUAUUUAAGGAGCAAAUUUGAAUGAUGGAGGAGAAGUGUGUUGUGUCAUAAUGAAGCAGGACCAAUAGUCUGAAAAACGAUUGUUUUCAGCAUUCUUUUUAAAAAUACAUGUUGAUGAAGGAUGACAAACCUUGCAUUGCAAAAUCAAUGUUUCCCAUAUGGCAUCUAUGCAUUGUUUCAUCAGGGAACUAUGUACAUAUAAAAACUAAAGAAAUAUAUCUUUAUAUAUAUAUUUGUAUGAUCUUUAUCAUGUACGAUAUAAAUCAUGCUACGAAAUGUACAAUUUUGUUUCUGUUUCCAAUCAUUAUUUAUUUUCUAAUUAUGAUUAUAUAAUGUAGAUGAUAAUGCCUUGAGUUCUUAAUUGAUAUAGCUUUUGUUUCUUGAUAUAUACUGAAUGGCAUUAAAAUUAUUACUCCAUGACUAGAAAUUAUUAAUUAUAUUAUGUAAGUGUUGAUUUCAUUCUAUAUCAUUCUGUUCAUUCUCAUAAUCAAAAUUUCUGUUUGCUGUAUAAUUUCUGUCCCUAUGUCAAAUAUGUGUAAAUGUACAUUUAGUAUGUAAGAUAUAAUAUUGUAUUUUUGUGAAUAUCUUUCCAUGUGAUGAUAGAACUGCAAGCCUACUUGAAAACAUUUGCAGUAUGAAAAUCUGUUUUAAUACAUAAAGACCAAAAA
This 5020-nucleotide long non-coding RNA is filed under the name Lytechinus variegatus (green sea urchin). Its description in RNAcentral is "uncharacterized LOC121418715". Lineage: Eukaryota; Metazoa; Echinodermata; Echinoidea; Temnopleuroida; Toxopneustidae. The record is from RNAcentral.